Molecule: ribosomal RNA, 448 nt
Filed under: uncultured bacterium
Lineage: Bacteria
Description: bacterial SSU rRNA
Rfam family: Bacterial small subunit ribosomal RNA
Source: RNAcentral
AUGAACGCUGGCGGCGUGGAUAAGGCAUGCAAGUCAAGGGGCCCGCAAGGGCACCGGCGAACGAGGUAGUAACACGUGGGUACGAACCCUCAAGCCUGGCAUAGCUCGUCGAAAGACGGGGUAAUUCCAGAUAGUCUCUUCGGAGUAAAGUCGUAAGACGCUUGAAGAUCGGCCUGCGCAGUAUCAGCUAGUUGGUAGGGUAAUGGCCUACCAAGGCAAUGACGCUUAGGGGAGCUGAGAGGCUGACCCCCACCGAUGGUACUGAGACACGGACCAUACACCUACGGGUGGCUGCAGUCGAGAAUCUUCCACAAUGGGCGAAAGCCUGAUGGAGCGACGCCGCGUGACUGAUGAAGUCCUUCGGGACGUAAAGGUCUUUUAUAGGGGAGAAAGCCCGGAUUUAUUCGGGCGUGAUAGUACCCUAGGAAUAAGAGGUUGCUAAACUCGU